Molecule: ribosomal RNA, 541 nt
Filed under: Exaiptasia diaphana
Lineage: Eukaryota; Metazoa; Cnidaria; Anthozoa; Actiniaria; Aiptasiidae
Description: partial 12S ribosomal RNA
Rfam family: Bacterial small subunit ribosomal RNA
Source: RNAcentral
UAAAAAGGCGUAGAGGAUGUGUAGGCCAAGAAAUUAUCUAAGAAGGUAAAUGGAAUUUUUCUGGAGCGGUAAAAUGUGAAGAUAGAAAAUAGAACACCUAAGGUUAAAACUAUUUACCACAAAAUAGGCUGAAACAUGAGAGAGUGGGGAGCAAACAGGAUUAGAGACCCUGGUAGUCCACUCUGUAAACUUUGAAGAUUAUGUUUAGCAGGCCCGAAAGGUAAAAUCUUCCGCCUGAGUAGUACGAUCGCAAGAUUAAAAUUCAAAAACUUUGGCUGUUCACUACUUCGAUUAGAGGAGCGUGUAGUUUAAUUCGAUGGUCCGCGUGUUACCUUACCCCAGCUUGAAUCUAUGACCGGUAUUGCAUGGCCGUCGUAAGUCCCUGUGUUAAACUAAAAGGGACCCAAUCCGGGCGUUUGCCUGAAGGAAGUCAGGUCUUAUGAUCCGAAUGUUGGGGGAUUUAUGCGCUACAUUUUCUUAUAUAAUGAGAGACUUGAGAGGUAAGCCUCUAAAGUAAGAGUUCGGAAGGUCGCUGUAAAAC